Haemorhous mexicanus (house finch) is the source of this 332-nucleotide long non-coding RNA. RefSeq lists it as uncharacterized. The transcript is spliced from 3 exons. Lineage: Eukaryota; Metazoa; Chordata; Aves; Passeriformes; Fringillidae. The record is from RefSeq and is a predicted model, not a curated record.
CCUCUGCCUUAUGCUAUAGGGAUGUUUCCAUAGCAUUGAAUAUAAUCCCAGGGAAGUCCUCUGGAGCUCUUGGAAUGUGUGAUAAUAACACCAGCCCUGCCCGAGGAGGAUGGACAGCUGGAAAUCUGCCCCUGGCUGCUGGGGCUCCCUCCUCUCUCCCCAUCCCUGUGUAACUGAUGGAGAAAUCUCUGGGAGCAAUCUGGGACUGAGUUGGAGACACUGAAGGAUUAUUUUACAGGGGAAAGAGGUUUUAAAAAAGAGCUGACUUCUUCCCCUCUCCAUCAAAUCUGCUGCCUUCCUGAGGAACUGGGCCAGUCCUGCCUUUCCACUCG